Molecule: long non-coding RNA, 2481 nt
Organism: Eriocheir sinensis (Chinese mitten crab)
Lineage: Eukaryota; Metazoa; Arthropoda; Malacostraca; Decapoda; Varunidae
Exons: 2
Source: RefSeq, a predicted model, not a curated record
GAUGUAGUUACCCUCGGGAGAUGCGAUUCUGCUGUAACUCAUUAUCCCUCUUAUUCAUCAUGUUUUCCCUCUGACCCGUCCUCCUUUUCUUCCCUCUAUUUUGUAUUUCCCCAUUUUCCCCCUUCGCAUCUUUCUCCCAUCUUAGAAAAAAAAUACAUGCCCAGAGUUGCUGUUUUUGGAGCUGCAUGUGUCGUCCUAUGCAUGGUAGGCCUGUCCGUACUUCUCUUUGUUGUAGUCUGGGUAUGUUGUUCUGUAGGGCUGUGUGAUGGUGUGCGGAUGGUGAUAGGGGAGAUGGGUGAUGAAGAAAUGGUGUUAGAUGGUGAAGAAAAGUCAUUAGUGAUAAGGAAAGGAGUAGAUGGUGAUGGAUAGUGAAUAGUUGAAGGUGAUAGGUGAUGGUGAUGGUAGAAUGAAGAUGAAAGGUUGAGUAGAUGAUAGGCAACUGAAGGUCAUGAUAGUGGAACAAAAAAAUAUAUAAUGUAGCUUCUUGUACUGCAUCAAAAUUAUACUAAAACAUUAUCUGGGCUUAUUUGAGGUAUAUUAUAGUGGAAAAUGUGUUUAUUGGUCAAAGUUUAUAUGUAUUUCAGAUCAUUUUAAACUUGCCUCCCCACACACACACCCUCCCCUCACCUUUAUCCAAUUAUUAUGUGAGAGAGGCAGUUUGAUAAUGGUGGGACGCUUCACAGUAAUCAUCUGCUAAGUUAAUUGAUUACUAUAUCUAUUUAACAUAACCUCAGACACCCUUCCUACAACCCCCAUUUAUAUAACUUACAUGAGGAGGUUAGUUGAAUAAUUAAGAGAAUUUCCAUAGUAGUUAUUUGCAUAAGACUAGUGUAUAUAUGUGUGUGUGUGUGUGUGUGUUGCUCUCUCUAUCUCUAGUAUUGUGGGAGGCAUUGUAUAGUUGUGCAUUUUUUAUAGAUUUGUCUGUGUCUGUCUGUGUUCAUUCUGUUACUUUAUUUUUGUUUUGUUUUUCAUUUGAUUUUGCAUCACCGCCAUCCUCCUCCUCCUCCUCCUCCUCCUCCGUCUCACCCCAUUCCUUCCUUUUCCUUUCCUUUAUUCUCCAUUCUUUCCUUCCUUUUCUUUCCCUCUCUUCCUCUCUUUCUCUUUGCCUUCCUUUCCUCCAUAUUUCCCUCUUUCCUUCUUUAUCUCCUCCCGAACACACAACCUCCUCUGUUUUCCCUCCCUCCCUUUUUCUCCCAUCCUUACCUCCCCAACACACAACCUCUUCUGUUUUCCCUCCCUCCCUCUCUCCCUUCCUCCCUCCUUCCUUCCUUACCUCCCCCAACACACAAUCUAUUAAGUUUUCCCUCCCUCCAUUCUCUCCCUUCCUCCCUCCCUUGGUUGACUAGUGCAUUAGUAUAUAAGUGGGUCAUAGUCUAAGCCUGGGUAGCCAUUCCCCUGUGUUGGCCAAAAUUAUAUUCCUUCAAUUUCUUUCUUUUUCAGUAUGGUGUGAGGGAGUAUGUCAUAUUAUUUGUCCUGUAUUGCUAUUUUUAAGUUAGUGUAUUACGAAUGGGGGUAAUUUUAUAUAUAUGUUUGUGUGUGUGUAUGUUUUUAUUAUGGUGUUUUUUUGUGCGUUGGGGAUGUGGUUUGGGGAGUCAUUUUUCAUUGUUUAUUUGUAUUUAUUGUGUACAUGUGUUUUUGUGAGCCGUCAUCUCUCUCUGUUUCCAGUAAUGCGACAGUACUUUAUUUAUCAUUUUCAAGGGUUUUUUUAUCAGCAUUUUUGAGGAUUUUUUAUCAGCAUUUUUGGGGAUUUUUUAUUAACAUUUUCAGCAUUUUUGAGGAUUUUUUAUGAUCAUUUUCAGCAUUUUCAAGGAUUUUUUAUAAUUUUCAGCAUUUUUAAGGAUUUUUUAGUAUCAUUUUCAGUACUUUCAAGGGGUUUUUAUCAGCAUUUUCAGCAUUUUCAAGGAUCUUUAUUAUCAUUUUCAGCAUUUUCAAGGAUUUUUUAGUAUUUUCAGCAUUUUCAAGGAUUUUUUACUAUAAUUUUCAACUAACAUUAUCAUUAGUAAGGUGUAUAUAUAUUUUUCCCCUGAUUAUCUACUAUUAUUAUUAUUAUUAUUAUUAUUAUUAUUAUUAUUAUUAUUAUUAUUAUUAUUAUUAUUAUUAUUAUUAUCUCCAUUCUAAGUAGAUGAAUACCACUUCUAUACCUACCUUUCUCUCCUAAUUGCCUACCUACCUGCUUUCUACCUGCUGUUUGAGUACUCUUAUUAUUAGUAUAUAUUCAUCAUGGUUAUACGUUUAGAGUUUGGUCCGUGUUCUGAGACAGUUUCGGCCCUCAACAACUUUUUCCCAAGGCCACAGGGGAGGUUAGUUGGAUUCUCAUAAGUGUUAACAUUCAUGGUACAGAACCCUUGUCAAACUAUCACUAGGCUCAUUAAACUACCCAUGGAAAUACUAACUUAUGAAAUCCUUGUCAAACUUUCACUAGGCUCAUAAAACUACCCAUGGAAACACUAACACAAUGACCUCUACCAAAGCCUUGUCAAA